CCUACGGGAGACAGCAGUGGGGGAUAUUGCACAAUGGGGGGAACCCUGAUGCAGCGACGCCGCGUGGGUGAAGAAGCGCCUCGGCGCGUAAAGCCCUGUCAGCAGGGAAGAAAAUGACGGUACCUGAAGAAGAAGCCCCGGCUAACUACGUGCCAGCAGCCGCGGUCAUACGUCGGGGGCAAGCGUUAUCCGGAUGUACUGGGUGUAAAGGGGGCGCAGACGGCGAUGCAAGCCAGGAGGGAAAGCCCGGGGCCCAACCCCGGGACUGCUCUUGGAACUGCGUGGCUGGAGUGCAGGAGGGGCAGGCGGAAUUCCAGGUGUAGCGGUGAAAUGCGUAGAUAUCAGGAGGAACACCAGUGGCGAAGGCGGCCUGCUGGACUGCAACUGACGUUGAGGCCCGAAAGCGUGGGGAGCAAACAGGAUUAGAUACCCGGGUAGUC
This 440-nucleotide ribosomal RNA is filed under the name uncultured bacterium. RNAcentral describes it as "partial 16S ribosomal RNA". It matches the Rfam family "Bacterial small subunit ribosomal RNA", at positions 338 to 795 of the family's 1533-position model. The record is from RNAcentral.